UUUCAAUAUGACCCUGUCAACAAAGCACGCGUUCUGAUCGAUGUGUCGACAAUUCCGUCUCUGGUGUGAAAGCUCCCACUGACUGGACACAUGUUCGGAAAAGUAUUAAUAACACGCAAAGGCCUUCAGACGUCCGAAUAUAUGGACGAUACAGUUCAUCGUGUAUAGUUCCACCCUACCAACAUCUUCCCCCCCGGUCUUGAAACAUCUGUGCUGCUGCAUGAGACCCUGGACACACACACACACACACACACACACGCACGUUUCUGGACCAUUUGCUCUGUAUUCAUGUGUGGACAGACUUACUGUACAUUGCCUCUUUUCCCAUCUGCUGACAGUUUUCCCGACACUGGAUCCGAGCGACGCGGACCACCGGGAGCCGGGAAUGUCGGCGCAGCGUGGCCGCAGGAUGUGACUCAUCGCGGAUCACGGGACUUUAGCUUCAGGUGCAGGACGACUGCAAGAGAGGAAAACAUUUCUGGGCCAUUUAAAGUUUCAUAGACCUCCUGAACACAUCACGUGUAUCACUCUGAGCACGUGCUUCUGUUCCCCGCGGACGGUUUUCCAGGUUCCUGGAAUCAGUCGGUUUUCAGCGAACGGCCAAACAGAACAAGGUCGGAGGCAGAUGAGGUUUUUAAAGGUUUGACUAUGAAUCUCGGGGACGAGACGGACGAAUGGCCGAGCAGAAUGAAUCACUUCGGGGUUCCAGCAGGUGAGGAUUCUUCCAAGCGGUUUGAUUUCUGAGAGUCUUGGUCCGGAGGAGGAGCAGGCCGACGUCCAGUGUCCAGUUUCCUUUUAUACUUCCUCUUUUUAAAGCCCAAAAAAGAAAAAUCUAACCAUUACUUAAUUAGUAAUUGAGUCUAUUUAUGAACAGAUACAUAAUUUAAUUUGUAAACUACUUUAAUAAAGUGCUUCAUCACUGUGAAUGAAGCACUUUGGUCUCCAGGCUGCGUCGUCGUCGUCGUCGUCUCCUCCUCCUCCAACAUUUCCCGUCAGCUCUGACGCUCCUGACGCGCGGAGGCGGGACGGAGACUGACGGGACGACAAAUGAGAGCCGGCUCCGGAGCAGCAGUUCAGAAUAUCAGGGCUUCUCUCUCCUCAUCACUUUCUCCUCAGGCAGCGUCAGUCAGUCAGUGUCAGGGCGAAAAAAGCUUCAGUCAGUGAUUUAUGAUUAAAAA
Molecule: long non-coding RNA, 1178 nt
Filed under: Scophthalmus maximus (turbot)
Lineage: Eukaryota; Metazoa; Chordata; Actinopteri; Pleuronectiformes; Scophthalmidae
Description: lncRNA (ENSSMAG00000030300.1)
Source: RNAcentral